GACGAACGCUGGCGGCGUGCUUAACACAUGCAAGUCGAACGGAAAGGCCCUGCUUGCAGGGUACUCGAGUGGCGAACGGGUGAGUAACACGUGGGUGAUCUGCCCUGCACUUCGGGAUAAGCCUGGGAAACUGGGUCUAAUACCGGAUAGGAGCCAUUUUUAGUGUGAUGGUUGGAAAGUUUUUUCGGUGUAGGAUGAGCUCGCGGCCUAUCAGCUUGUUGGUGGGGUAAUGGCCUACCAAGGCGGCGACGGGUAGCCGGCCUGAGAGGGUGGACGGCCACAUUGGGACUGAGAUACGGCCCAGACUCCUACGGGAGGCAGCAGUGGGGAAGUUUGCACAAUGGGCGCAAGCCUGAUGCAGCGACGCCGCGUGGGGGAUGACGGCCUUCGGGUUGUGAACUCCUUUCGCUAGGGACGAAGCGUUUUGUGACGGUACCUAGAUAAGAAGCACCGGCUAACUACGUG
Molecule: ribosomal RNA, 465 nt
Filed under: uncultured bacterium
Lineage: Bacteria
Description: partial 16S ribosomal RNA
Rfam family: Bacterial small subunit ribosomal RNA
Source: RNAcentral